ACAAUGGAAUCAAUGAAUGCUGGAAAAAAUCUUUACUCAUGCAUACAUGUUGGAUACAGAGGUCAGCAUAAAAGCCUUAAAGUACUUUGCAGGCUGGGCAGACAAGAUUCAUGGCCAAACAAUACCAAGUGGUGAGUACAUGUGGGAAACUGGCAGCAUGACGGUAGAGGAGAGGCCACUAUGCGGAGCUGGGUACCUUCAAAUUGUCCCUGGUAGAGGCAUU
RNAcentral lists this long non-coding RNA (223 nucleotides) under Rattus norvegicus (Norway rat). RNAcentral describes it as "long non-coding RNA NONRATT003650". The record is from RNAcentral. Lineage: Eukaryota; Metazoa; Chordata; Mammalia; Rodentia; Muridae.